GGGGGGCGCGGAGGGGGGCGCGGAGGGGGCGCGGAAGGGGGGCGCGGAGGGGGCGCUGUCCGCGGUGCUGACUCUGCCCGCGGCCGGCGCGACGGCGACAGCGACGGCGACAGCGGCGACAGCGGCGGCUCCGACGGCUCCUCCCGCCGCCGCCCCGCCGAGGGCUAUUUAUUGGGGCCGCCCCGGCCGGCCACUCCUCCCGGCGCUGCCCUGCCCGCCCUGCGUGCGAAGGGGGGGCCGGGGUCUCCCCCCGGAGGGUGCCGCCCUCCCCUCGGCGUGGGGAGGGAGGGUUGGGGGCCGGCGGGUCCCCCCAAGUUAUUUUGGGGUCCUGAUGCUGAAGUGGUGGUCGUGGAUCUGCCGGCUGAGCCGUCGGGUUCCCGGCUGGGGAAGGGUGCUGGGUGUCAGCUCUGCGGGAUGGUCCCGUGCGAGGUGCUGGGGUCACCCCAUUUGUGCGUGAUCCGUCCCCAAACUGUGUCUGCAGGUAGCUCGGCAUGGGCUUCAUCUCUGCAGUGGGGCAGCCCUAUAAACUGAGGUUUCUCGGGGUAUUGAGAUAUCCAUAUCGAGACAGCACAGCAACGGGGUCAGUAAACUUAAAUAUAUGGCCCUAGCGGGUAACCUCAUGCCAACAGCACACUAUGAAACACCACCCUAGUAAGGUCACUCUUUUGCAGUGCAGGGGGGUGAGGGACACUGCCACUUCUGACUGGCCUAGAGUCUUUUUCUUUAGGGAGACCAUCUUCCAAGACUUGCCCUCCUAUAGUUGUAGGUUGGUGGGAGGGAGCAGAGCAGCUUGCCAAAGAUCUUCCUUCUGUUGCAGGGUGACAUGGAGUUGUACCCGUACUAAUUAUCAGGUCCUCAUUAGGAUGGCUGCAUGACCUCGGUACUCUGAAGCUCAGAAACUGCCUUUCUGCAAUGUUCCUCACGUGCUGCAUUGAGUUAGCAGGGUGUGAUGGCCAAGGUGAUCGGCUGCCAGAGCAUUGCCAAAUACAGGAGGAGCAGGUACCUGGCAGGGCCCUGGCCACGACAAGCGGAAGUGCAGUGAAUCGAGCCCGCGCCUAUCCUUUGUGCUUGGAAAGACAACAGGGUGCUAGUGACGCAAGGACGCUGGAAGGAGACAAAGGUGGAAUUGGCAUUUCCAUCAUUUUUACACAGAAGACAACUGUGCCAAUGAGGCAACCUCUUGUAUUUGCCAAGCGUAUUGAAUUACUCACUUCAGUGCAGAAUUUCAGCUUCCAGCAGCAUGCACAAAUGGAAACUGAGUGCUGAACCUGUUUUAACAGUCCUCUGACUUGCAUCUUAUGUUGGUUUGCUCCUUGCUGUGCACCAUUUUCAAAUGGCACCUCAAAUCUUGUCCUUGUUACUUAUCCCUGACCCAGAAAUCUGUAGCUGAAUGGUGGGGAAGAAUUCAGUGUUGUUUGGGGCCAGCCUGACGUGGCUCAUCUGACUGCUCAGACUUUUAAAUGAAAAGGAGCUGUAAUAUUUACAUUUUCAAAAGUUCUCAGAAUAAAAUAUUUUGCAUAGGUCACAUGUGGCUGAGAGGGUUUGGAAAAAGUCUCGCAGGGACUUAGAAAAUACAUUGUUGCUCCUCACCAGGGACAUGUAUAAUCAUGAGCAGGUAGGAUACUUGGACGCACUGACCUCUCAUUAUGCUAACAUCUACAAAAUCAGUAUUGUCUACAGAGCCUUUAUGUAUCUUUCAGCAUUCUUUGUAAAACAAUAUGUUGAGGUGAAUGAGUUCAUCUGUUCUUGCCGCUGCACUUGAAGUGAUCCUGCGCAGACAUAAAAGUAGCAGACAUUUCCGUGCAAAAAUAAGCACUUAUGUAACUAACUGCACACCAUAUUUUCAUGAUUAAUGAAUUACCAAGCCACCAUUCAUAUUUAAUCCUACUGGACUCUGCUUCUUAUGCAAAACUAAAUCAGAAACUGGUCAUUUCAAUUCCAAGAAGCUAUUAAUUUCCAUUGAAAGAGAAAGCACUGUAAAAGAUCUAAAAAUGCAGAUAUAUACAGGAUGUGAUCCAUAACCCAAUGAAGUCCAUGCAAAUUCUUUCAGAGACUCUAGAGGGCUUUAUACAAGGACGUAGUUCUUCAUGUUUUCAGAAAUUAUAUGUAUGGUGAUGUGCAUAUAUACACAUCGAUUAAUGAAUUACUGCACUAAGAAGCAUAAGCCCUGUCUUUCAUUUUAUCCAGAGCUACUUGAAGUUCUCCUUACAAAAAAUGAGCCAGAUCCAUAUCUGGCAGAAGUCAAAAAAACUACAGUGAAGCCAGCUGGAAACUUGACCCAGAAUCCAAGUGACUAUCAUUUUCUUUGAAAGCAUUUGUUGUUCAUAGCUCUUCUACAAAUGCUUUUCAUUAAUAUUUUUUUUUUGUAUGUGGGUUUUCUGAGACUUUCCAGUUAUGACUACCAACCUUCUGUCUUUAGUCUCUGAAGAGCAUUUAAGUGUAAUAUCCCAAGGGUCCUUCAAGGUUUGUGAAAAUCAAAUAUACCAAUUAUAACAGCAAAUAAAAGCAAGAAAUAAUAAGGUAAGAAAUUCUCAUCAAAAUAAAUAAAUAAAUAAAUACACAC
Molecule: long non-coding RNA, 2563 nt
Filed under: Anas zonorhyncha (Eastern spot-billed duck)
Lineage: Eukaryota; Metazoa; Chordata; Aves; Anseriformes; Anatidae
Description: lncRNA (ENSAZOG00000006125.1)
Source: RNAcentral